RNAcentral lists this ribosomal RNA (492 nucleotides) under Triticum aestivum (bread wheat). RNAcentral's name for it is "partial small subunit ribosomal RNA". Lineage: Eukaryota; Viridiplantae; Streptophyta; Magnoliopsida; Poales; Poaceae. The record is from RNAcentral.
AUGGCAGCAAUGCUACAGUUAUGCGUCCAGGAAAUCUGCUUGGUGUACCACAUCGCAGCGGCCACAAAAUGGCCCAAGCGCCUCAAAGAGUUCCUGCAGGAGGAGAAAUUGUACACAUUUGUCGGUUUCAGCAUUGGAGGUGACAAGCGGAUGCUGAACAAGUCUGGUUUGGAGAUCAACCCCAACUACUUCAUCGACAUGCAGCGCAAGUCGAAAGUUCCAACCACCAACAAAUACUACGACUCCUUGGCCGAUAUUGCAGGCAGCGUCAUCCACCCAUUCUACAACAGCAUGAAGAAGAAGAUGGAGAAGAAGGAAGACCCCAAACUGUGGGGGAACAACCCGCUGCCAGUCAAGCUCAUCGAGUAUGCGGGAAUAGAUGCGUACGCCACGUACAAAUCAUGGAAGAUAAUCGACAACAUCGUGACAGGUUGGGAUAUUUCAAAAGAGCAGGAGGCUGACCCUUACUACCACUGCAACUUCGCGGGAUGA